RNAcentral lists this ribosomal RNA (253 nucleotides) under uncultured bacterium. Its description in RNAcentral is "partial 16S ribosomal RNA". It matches the Rfam family "Bacterial small subunit ribosomal RNA", at positions 524 to 776 of the family's 1533-position model. The record is from RNAcentral.
UACGUAGGGUGCAAACGUUGCUCGGAAUCAUUGGGCGUAAAGCGCACGUAGGCGGCCUGAUAAGUCGGGUGUGAAAGCCCUGGGCUCAACCCAGGAAGUGCACUCGAAACUGUCAGGCUUGAAUAUGGAAGAGGGUCGCGGAAUUCCCGGUGUAGAGGUGAAAUUCGUAGAUAUCGGGAGGAACACCAGUGGCGAAGGCGGCGACCUGGGCCAAUAUUGACGCUGAGGUGCGAAAGCGUGGGGAGCAAACAGG